GAGUUUGAUCCUGGCUCAGGAUGAACGCUAGCGGCAGGCUUAACACAUGCAAGUCGAGGGGUAACGGGGUGCUUGCACCGCCGACGACCGGCGCACGGGUGAGUAACGCGUAUACAAUCUGCCUUGUACUGAGGGAUAGCCCAGAGAAAUUUGGAUUAAUACCUCAUAGUAUAUGGAACUCUCAUGAGGAUCAUAUUAAAGGUUACGGUACAAGAUGAGUAUGCGUUCUAUUAGCUAGAUGGUAAGGUAACGGCUUACCAUGGCUACGAUAGAUAGGGGCCCUGAGAGGGGGAUCCCCCACACUGGUACUGAGACACGGACCAGACUCCUACGGGAGGCAGCAGUGAGGAAUAUUGGACAAUGGGCGAGAGCCUGAUCCAGCCAUGCCGCGUGCAGGAUGACGGCCCUAUGGGUUGUAAACUGCUUUUAUACAGGAAGAAACACCCCGACGUGUCGGGACUUGACGGUACUGUAAGAAUAAGGAUCGGCUAACUCCGUGCCAGCAGCCGCGGUAAUACGGAGGAUCCAAGCGUUAUCCGGAAUCAUUGGGUUUAAAGGGUCCGUAGGUGGACAAUUAAGUCAGAGGUGAAAUCCUGCAGCUCAACUGUAGAAUUGCCUUUGAUACUGGUUGUCUUGAGUUAUUAUGAAGUAGUUAGAAUAUGUAGUGUAGCGGUGAAAUGCAUAGAUAUUACAUAGAAUACCAAUUGCGAAGGCAGAUUACUAAUAAUCAACUGACACUGAUGGACGAAAGCGUGGGGAGCGAACAGGAUUAGAUACCCUGGUAGUCCACGCCGUAAACGAUGGUUACUAGUUGUUCGGAUUUCGGUCUGAGUGACUAAGCGAAAGUGAUAAGUAACCCACCUGGGGAGUACGUUCGCAAGAAUGAAACUCAAAGGAAUUGACGGGGGCCCGCACAAGCGGUGGAGCAUGUGGUUUAAUUCGAUGAUACGCGAGGAACCUUACCAGGGCUUAAAUGCAAAACGACCGGGGUGGAAACACCCCUUUCUUCGGACGGAUUGCAAGGUGCUGCAUGGUUGUCGUCAGCUCGUGCUGUGAAGUGUCGGGUUAAGUCCCAUAACGAGCGCAACCCCUAUCUUCAG
This 1100-nucleotide ribosomal RNA is filed under the name uncultured Bizionia sp. Its description in RNAcentral is "bacterial SSU rRNA". It matches the Rfam family "Bacterial small subunit ribosomal RNA", at positions 9 to 1114 of the family's 1533-position model. The record is from RNAcentral. Lineage: Bacteria; Pseudomonadati; Bacteroidota; Flavobacteriia; Flavobacteriales; Flavobacteriaceae.